This 21-nucleotide non-coding RNA is filed under the name Caenorhabditis elegans. Lineage: Eukaryota; Metazoa; Nematoda; Chromadorea; Rhabditida; Rhabditidae. The record is from RNAcentral.
UGACAUGCUGUUUUGUUUUGU